Molecule: ribosomal RNA, 253 nt
Filed under: uncultured bacterium
Lineage: Bacteria
Description: partial 16S ribosomal RNA
Rfam family: Bacterial small subunit ribosomal RNA
Source: RNAcentral
UACGUAGGUGGCAAGCGUUGUCCGGAUUUACUGGGCGUAAAGAGCGCGCAGGCGGUCGUGCAAGUCGCGUGUGAAAGCCCCCGGCUCAACUGGGGAGGGUCACGCGAUACUGCUCGACUCGAAGGCAGGAGAGGGAAGCGGAAUUCCCGGUGUAGUGGUGAAAUGCGUAGAUAUCGGGAGGAACACCAGUGGCGAAGGCGGCUUCCUGGCCUGUUCUUGACGCUGAGGCGCGAAAGCUAGGGGAGCAAACGGG